RNAcentral lists this ribosomal RNA (301 nucleotides) under uncultured bacterium. Its description in RNAcentral is "partial 16S ribosomal RNA". It matches the Rfam family "Bacterial small subunit ribosomal RNA", at positions 509 to 807 of the family's 1533-position model. The record is from RNAcentral.
CAGCCGCCACGGUAAUACAGAGGGUGCAAGCGUUAUCCGGAUUUAUUGGGUUUAAAGGGUCCGUAGGCGGAUCUGUAAGUCAGUGGUGAAAUCUCACAGCUUAACUGUGAAACUGCCAUUGAUACUGCAGGUCUUGAGUAAAUUUGAAGUGGCUGGAAUAAGUAGUGUAGCGGUGAAAUGCAUAGAUAUUACUUAGAACACCAAUUGCGAAGGCAGGUCACUAAGAUUUAACUGACGCUGAUGGACGAAAGCGUGGGGAGCGAACAGGAUUAGAUACCCGCGUAGUCCCUGUCUCUUAUAC